GUGGGGAAUAUUCCGCAAUGGACGAAAGUCUGACGGAGCAACGGCGCGUGAGUGAUGAAGGUUUUCGGACUGUAAAGCUCUGUUGUUUAGGACGAAAGUGCCUGUUGCAAAUAGUUACAGGUAUUGACGGUACUGAACGAGGAAGCCACGGCUAACUACGUGCCAGCAGCCGCGGUAAUACGUAGGUGGCAAGCGUUGUCCGGAAUUAUUGGGCGUAAAGAGCAUGUAGGCGGGAAUCUAAGUCUGUUGUGAAAAUGCGGGGCUCAACCCCGUAUUGCGAUGGAAACUGGGUUUCUUGAGUGCAGGAGAGGAAAGGGGAAUUCCCAGUGUAGCGGUGAAAUGCGUAGAUAUUGGGAGGAACACCAGUGGCGAAGGCGCCUUUCUGGACUGUGUCUGACGCUGAGAUGCGAAAGCCAGGGUAGCGAACGGGAUUAGAUACCCCUGUAGUCC
Molecule: ribosomal RNA, 450 nt
Filed under: uncultured bacterium
Lineage: Bacteria
Description: partial 16S ribosomal RNA
Rfam family: Bacterial small subunit ribosomal RNA
Source: RNAcentral